This 320-nucleotide unclassified non-coding RNA is filed under the name plant metagenome. RNAcentral's name for it is "partial contains 5.8S ribosomal RNA, internal transcribed spacer 2, and large subunit ribosomal RNA". The stretch from base 1 to 105 matches the Rfam family "5.8S ribosomal RNA", at positions 50 to 154 of the family's 154-position model. The record is from RNAcentral.
GAAAUGCGAUAAGUAAUGUGAAUUGCAGAAUUCAGUGAAUCAUCGAAUCUUUGAACGCACAUUGCGCCCGCCAGUAUUCUGGCGGGCAUGCCUGUUCGAGCGUCAUUACAACCCUCAGGCCCCCGGGCCUGGCGUUGGGGAUCGGCGGAAGCCCCCUGCGGGCACAACGCCGUCCCCCAAAUACAGUGGCGGUCCCGCCGCAGCUUCCAUUGCGUAGUAGCUAACACCUCGCAACUGGAGAGCGGCGCGGCCACGCCGUAAAACACCCAACUUCUGAAUGUUGACCUCGAAUCAGGUGGGAAUACCCGCUGAACUUAAGC